UACGGGGGGGGCAAGCGUUGUUCGGAAUUACUGGGCGUAAAGGGUUCGUAGGUGGCCAACUAAGUCAAACGUGAAAUCCCUCAGCUUAACUGGGGAACUGCGUCUGAUACUGGUUGGCUUGAGUGCAGGAGAGGAACGCGGAAUUCCAGGUGUAGCGGUGAAAUGCGCAGAUAUCGGGAGGAACACCAGUAGCGAAGGCGGUUCUCUGGGCCGGCACUGACGCUGAGGAGCGAAAGCGUGGGGAGCAAACAGG
RNAcentral lists this ribosomal RNA (253 nucleotides) under uncultured bacterium. RNAcentral's name for it is "partial 16S ribosomal RNA". It matches the Rfam family "Bacterial small subunit ribosomal RNA", at positions 524 to 776 of the family's 1533-position model. The record is from RNAcentral.